Molecule: ribosomal RNA, 113 nt
Organism: Ochotona princeps (American pika)
Lineage: Eukaryota; Metazoa; Chordata; Mammalia; Lagomorpha; Ochotonidae
Source: Ensembl
GCCUAUGGCCAUACCACCCUGAACGCGCCAGAUCGCAUCGGAUCUCAGAAGCUAAGCAGUGUCGGGCCUGGUUAGUACUUGGAUGGGAGAAGGUCCUGGGGCCGCCAUCUCCU